This is a long non-coding RNA of Xiphias gladius (swordfish), 374 nucleotides long. RefSeq lists it as uncharacterized. The transcript has 3 exons. The record is from RefSeq and is a predicted model, not a curated record. Lineage: Eukaryota; Metazoa; Chordata; Actinopteri; Istiophoriformes; Xiphiidae.
GGAAAUUAUCAACAUAUUUACGAACUCUCCCAUUUCUCCCAGUUCUUCUCCCAUCUGGACUACGGUGGCAGCACAGGAAGAGCACAAUGCUGCCAGAGACUUUGGGACAUUGUGAGAUGACGAGUGACAUCUGGAUAAACAUCUACUCUAUUUAGCGCAAGUGCCCAAAGAGGUCUCUGUUUGUGGUCACUUAGACUCAGGCCCAUCUCAGCAAACGGGUCCAACAGCCGGCUGCCCUCAUCAUCUGCUAGCUACAGCGGAGAUCGGGAGAUUACCGAAGGGGAAAACACAGACAGAAGGGUUGAGAGUACUGACUUUUCAUGUAGAGGAACCAAACACAGCAUCACACACGGAUGCCCACACCCACCUGUGUG